CCUACGGGUGGCAGCAGUGGGGAAUAUUGCGCAAUGGGCGAAAGCCUGACGCAGCGACGCCGCGUGAGGGAUGAAGGUCUUCGGAUCGUAAACCUCUGUCAGCAGGGAAGAACGGUCACUGUGCUAAUCAGCAGUGAAUUGACGGUACCUGCAAAGGAAGCACCGGCUAACUCCGUGCCAGCAGCCGCGGUAAUACGGAGGGUGCGAGCGUUAAUCGGAAUUACUGGGCGUAAAGCGCUCGUAGGCGGUUUCUCAAGUCAAGGGUGAAAUCCCCGGGCUCAACGUGGGAAGGGCCUUUGAAACUGGCAGACUGGAGUGUGUGAGAGGAUAGUGGAAUUCCAGGUGUAGGAGUGAAAUCCGUAGAUAUCUGGAGGAACAUCAGUGGCGAAGGCGGCUAUCUGGCACAUAACUGACGCUGAGGAGCGAAAGCGUGGGUAGCAAACAGGAUUAGAUACCCCUGUAGUC
This 465-nucleotide ribosomal RNA is filed under the name uncultured bacterium. Its description in RNAcentral is "partial 16S ribosomal RNA". It matches the Rfam family "Bacterial small subunit ribosomal RNA", at positions 338 to 795 of the family's 1533-position model. The record is from RNAcentral.